AACGAACGCUGGCGGCAGGCUUAACACAUGCAAGUCGAACGGAUCCUUCGGGAUUAGUGGCAGACGGGUGAGUAACGCGUGGGAACGUACCCUUUGCUACGGAAUAACUCAGGGAAACUUGAGCUAAUACCGUAUGUGCCCUACGGGGGAAAGAUUUAUCGGCAAAGGAUCGGCCCGCGUUGGAUUAGCUAGUUGGUGGGGUAAUGGCCUACCAAGGCGACGAUCCAUAGCUGGUCUGAGAGGAUGAUCAGCCACACUUGGACUGAGACACGGCCCAGACUCCUACGGGAGGCAGCAGUGGGUAAUAUUGGACAAUGGGCGCAAGCCUGAUCCAGCCAUGCCGCGUGAGUGAUGAAGGUCUUAGGAUUGUAAAGCGCUUUCACCGGUGAAGAUAAUGACGGUAGCCGGAGAAGAAGCCCCGGCUAACUUCGUG
This 433-nucleotide ribosomal RNA is filed under the name uncultured bacterium. RNAcentral's name for it is "partial 16S ribosomal RNA". It matches the Rfam family "Bacterial small subunit ribosomal RNA", at positions 29 to 507 of the family's 1533-position model. The record is from RNAcentral.